This 498-nucleotide long non-coding RNA is filed under the name Vigna radiata. Its description in RNAcentral is "long non-coding RNA (VRAD_LNC008735)". Lineage: Eukaryota; Viridiplantae; Streptophyta; Magnoliopsida; Fabales; Fabaceae. The record is from RNAcentral.
UUAUACUCAAUCACUCAAGUUUUUAUUCAUGAAUGACCAAUCCACUAAGCAUAGAUGUAAACAUGGAAUUCAACAAUUCUCACCAAGCAAGUGUUUCACUCAAUCACUCAAGUGUUUAGGAGGACACUCCACUCUCAACUAUUCACAUGUCAGAUAAAACAAAAUUGCCCUUCAUCUAAAACAAUUAACAUUCUCACAUGCAAAUGUCAUCACAAGGACUUUUCUAAGGCUUAUAAUGAGGCUGGGUUAACAAGAAAAAUUGGUUUUUCUAGAUCACAAAAUCCUUGAGUCAAGAGAGCUAUUUUAACAUUCAAAGUUCAAGUACAAACUCUCUUUUUCACCAAUCUCACUCAUUCCCAACUUCUUCCCUUUUCUUUUUAUUGAGCUCAUCUUUCAUGCUUUUUUUCUUUUCUUCUUUUUCUUUUCUCAUGCAUUUUUCUUUUUCAACACUUGAGCUCAAUACUUUUCUUUUGCCUUUCCCCCAACAACCCCAAACUU